Dromaius novaehollandiae (emu) is the source of this 1115-nucleotide long non-coding RNA. RefSeq lists it as uncharacterized. The record is from RefSeq and is a predicted model, not a curated record. The transcript is spliced from 3 exons. NCBI's taxonomy places the organism in Eukaryota, Metazoa, Chordata, Aves, Casuariiformes, Dromaiidae.
GCCACGAGGAGGGAGGACAGGAUAAGCUACAACAGGCACCAACAGAAGGCUGUCGGACCCAUCCCAGUGUUUCUUUUUCUUCAUACCUCCAAGAUAAUUAAACCUGACAAGAGCUACGGGAUCACAUAAAGAUGAACUGAUGCCUGCUGGAGAAGCUUAUGAAAAUUCAUUUAGCAAGCCAAAGGAGGCUGCUCCCCAGUCUGGUAGGUGCUGCACACUUCCCUGCCCUGGGCCCUGAGACUGGAAGCUGCUGACUGCCUCCUACGAUCAAAAAUGGUGAGAAGUACUGGAUCCUUGAUGGGAAUUGGGACCUGUGUGUCUGACCUUAGCGAUGUCCAGGGGAAACAAGCCAAAAUGCAGAGAGUGAAAGACUGUGCAUGUCCAGAGAGCAGAACUGAGUGAACUUGAAGCCUGUUAUGGAAGGUGCCCCCUACAAACGGAGCAUCCCUAAUGCUGCAUAUUGGCAAUGUCACAGCUGCAACGACUGGACUUGUACUCUGCGUUUUAAGGCAUGCGCAGGUUUUCGGCUAGAUUGAAUUCUUGCUGUUCGCUCAGGUAAUAAGCCUCAACCAACACUCUCCUUUACUGACAAAAUCCAGGGUGAACAAAUCCACAUUCAAAAUGUGGUUCCUGCAGAAUUCCCUCACAAGCAUUUGCCAACAACCCUCGAUGAAAGGCUCGUGGUGCUCAGGCAGGAUCACAGCACUGAGAUGCUGCUGCACUGGUGAGACCUGCCACAGGCAAAGAAGUUCAACAAAGCCAUAAAGUAACCCAACCUCUAGCAAAGGGAAGAUUAAUUUUUGUUGGCAGCUUUUCUUUUUUUGACAGCAAUCUGUAGAUAUUCUGAUUGCCUCUUCUGGAGCGUUUUUGGCCUGAAAAUACCCAGGGAUUUGAUGCCGCAGAAUGGCUCACAAUGAUGGUCCAGUUGGGCAACUCUGGCAGACCAAUGUCGGUUUGAGCUCUGAUUCACGUUUGCCAUGCUCAGAGAAAAAAGAGUAAUGCCUCUUUCCUUCUUAACAAUCAUUAUUUUAUUAAUAUAUUUUACAAGAUUGCAAUUGAAAUCAUUUAAAUACAAAUUUUUUUAUACAGAAAGUGUAAUAAAGUUAAAAUAGUUC